RNAcentral lists this ribosomal RNA (776 nucleotides) under uncultured bacterium. Its description in RNAcentral is "bacterial SSU rRNA". It matches the Rfam family "Bacterial small subunit ribosomal RNA", at positions 9 to 755 of the family's 1533-position model. The record is from RNAcentral.
GAGUUUGAUCCUGGCUCAGGACGAAGCGAGCGGGGGGCUUAACACAUGCAAGUCGAACGAAGAGAGAUGGAAGCUUGCUUCUAUGGAUCUUAGUGGCGAACGGGUGAGUAACGCGUAAUCAACCUGCCCUUCAGAGGGGGGCAACAGUUGGAAACGACUGCUAAUACCGCAUACGAUCUAGCCUCGGCAUCGAGGAAAGAUGAAAGGUGGCCUCUAUGUAUAAGCUAUCACUGAAGGAGGGGAUUGCGUCUGAUUAGCUAGUUGGAGGGGUAACGGCCCACCAAGGCGAUGAUCAGUAGCCGGUCUGAGAGGAUGAACGGCCACAUUGGGACUGAGACACGGCCCAGACUCCUACGGGAGGCAGCAGUGGGAAAUCUUCCGCAAUGGACGAAAGUCUGACGGAGCAACGCCGCGUGAGUGAUGACGGCCUUCGGGUUGUAAAGCUCUGUUAAUCGGGACGAAAGGCCUUCUUGCGAAUAGUUAGAAGGAUUGACGGUACCGGAAUAGAAAGCCACGGCUAACUACGUGCCAGCAGCCGCGGUAAUACGUAGGUGGCAAGCGUUGUCCGGAAUUAUUGGGCGUAAAGCGCGCGCAGGCGGAUCAGUUAGUCUGUCUUAAAAGUUCGGGGCUUAACCCCGUGAUGGGAUGGAAACUGCUGAUCUAGAGUAUCGGAGAGGAAAGUGGAAUUCCUAGUGUAGCGGUGAAAUGCGUAGAUAUUUAGGAAGGACACCAGUGGCGAAGGCGACUUUCUGGACGAAAACUGACGCUGAGGCGCG